Mangifera indica (mango) is the source of this 107-nucleotide small nucleolar RNA. RefSeq annotates it as small nucleolar RNA snoR99. The transcript has a single exon. The record is from RefSeq and is a predicted model, not a curated record. NCBI's taxonomy places the organism in Eukaryota, Viridiplantae, Streptophyta, Magnoliopsida, Sapindales, Anacardiaceae.
GUGCUCUAGGGAUGAACAAGUCCCUAACAUUUAUUUUCUCCAUCUCAAUCACUUUGUCAGCAGUUUUUCCUUUGGUUUCUUGCUGAUCAUUAGAGGAUGGUACAUGC